Molecule: small RNA, 132 nt
Filed under: Escherichia coli
Lineage: Bacteria; Pseudomonadati; Pseudomonadota; Gammaproteobacteria; Enterobacterales; Enterobacteriaceae
Description: RtT sRNA
Rfam family: RtT RNA
About the family: This family represents a bacterial cis-regulatory element known as RtT RNA.
Source: RNAcentral
AUUCUGCCCAUGUGGGGAAGGAUGAGAAGCUUCGACCAAGGUUCGACUUGAGCGCCAGCGAGAGAGCGUUGCCGCAGGCAACGACCCGAAGGGCGAAGCGCGCAGCGCUGAGUAAUCCUUCCCCCACCACCA